CGACCGGCGCACGGGUGAGUAACGCGUGGGUAACCUGCCUCAUACAGGGGGAUAACAGUUGGAAACGGCUGCUAAUACCGCAUAAGCGCACAGUACCGCAUGGUACGGUGUGAAAAACUCCGGUGGUAUGAGAUGGACCCGCGUCUGAUUAGGUAGUUGGUGGGGUAACGGCCUACCAAGGCGACGAUCGGUAGCCGGACUGAGAGGUUGAACGGCCACAUUGGGACUGAGACACGGCCCAG
This 242-nucleotide ribosomal RNA is filed under the name uncultured bacterium. RNAcentral describes it as "partial 16S ribosomal RNA". It matches the Rfam family "Bacterial small subunit ribosomal RNA", at positions 92 to 334 of the family's 1533-position model. The record is from RNAcentral.